AACGAACGCUGGCGGCAUGCCUAACACAUGCAAGUCGAACGAGACCUUCGGGCUUAGUGGCGCACGGGUGCGUAACGCGUGGGAACCUGCCCUUGGGUUCGGAAUAACUCCCCGAAAGGGGUGCUAAUACCGGAUAAUGUCUUCGGACCAAAGGUUUAUCGCCUUUGGAUGGGCCCGCGUUGGAUUAGCUAGUUGGUAGGGUAAAAGCCUACCAAGGCGACGAUCCAUAGCUGGUCUGAGAGGAUGAUCAGCCACACUGGAACUGAGGCACGGCCCAGAAUCCUACGGGAGGCAGCAGUAGGGAAUAUUAGACAAGGGGCGAGAGCCUAAACCAGCAAUGCCGCGUGAGUGAUGAAGAGCUUAGGGUUGUAAAGCUCUUUUACCCGGGAUGAGAAUGACAGUACCGGGAGAAUAAGCACCGGCUAACUCCGUG
Molecule: ribosomal RNA, 433 nt
Filed under: uncultured bacterium
Lineage: Bacteria
Description: partial 16S ribosomal RNA
Rfam family: Bacterial small subunit ribosomal RNA
Source: RNAcentral